This is a long non-coding RNA of Bombyx mori (domestic silkworm), 592 nucleotides long. RefSeq lists it as uncharacterized. The transcript is spliced from 2 exons. The record is from RefSeq and is a predicted model, not a curated record. Lineage: Eukaryota; Metazoa; Arthropoda; Insecta; Lepidoptera; Bombycidae.
GGCAAUAUGACGUGAAUAGGAAACUGCAUGUCAGACAUUAACUUAAUGUUCUAUAUUAUUUAUAAACAAAUGAAUCUAAUAUUUUAAGACAAUAAAUAAAUAUUUAUUUUUAUAAUUAGCCCAGUUUUUCGUCGACGAAGCCAUCUUAAGAGAAGCUUCAUUGCAAAUAUCAGGCCGAUAUUUAACUAUAGCGGACAACAAACAAGAGUAGACACAUCGUGAGCUGUAGUUGUAGAAAGAGGAGAAAAUGGAAACUAAGGCGAACCACUGGCUCAUGCAGCUUUCAUUUCAGCAGAGGCUGCUCGUACGCAAGCAGAGGCCGCGCAUCUUCCAGCUGAGAUAUAUAAAAAAAUUCAAGGAAUUGACCAAUAUCGGCAAAAACCUUGUUUAAAAUAAUAAGUUCAAUUUUGUUUUAAUUUUAGCUAAGUCCGUAAUAGUUUAUAUUACCAUAAAAACGAAAUAGCGCUUGUUACAAUAGCCAAGCAAAUCCAAAUAUAUAAGUUUUACUUUAGGCUGGUACUACAGUAAAUUUUAUAACACUAAUGAGUAUAUUUUACGCUAAUAAAACUACUCUCAACUAAGCAUUUCAAAA